CCUUACACCCAGGCCGGUGGGCCAGGGCUCGGGAUGUGUCGGGCUGCUGGAGUCCAAAGUCAGGCAUUUCCCUGCCUCUGCCCGGUAGAAGAAGAGUGCCUCUAAGCAGAAACGAAGGGGAAGUGCACCUGUGCUACCAGCAGACACCUUGCUAGACCCUUCAGACAUCUUCCUUAAUCCUCACAACCAGCGUGAAAGAGACGUGGCAUCCCCAUUCUACAAGUGAGGGUUCCGAUUCGGAGGGUUUGACUUGCUGAAGGCCACAAAGCUAGUAAAUGGUAAAGUCAACACUGGCAAUCUUUGAGGACUGUUCGCCUGACUCAUCACCAGGCUGCCGCUCAGUAAAAGCCAAGGCACAGUCACCUUUAACAAAAUGUACAGAUUGCAGGCCAGAUUUAUGGGACCUCCUGUAGAUUGAGGCAAUGGAUUAAGUGUACUUUAUACUUCUCAGGUACAUAUUAGCAACCAGACGCUCCCAUAUUCCCUCUGUGUCUCUCCUGGAAAACCACUGAUAAAGAACAAUAAUAAAAUUUAUUCUAAGCCA
Long non-coding RNA from Pan troglodytes (chimpanzee), 544 nucleotides. RefSeq lists it as uncharacterized. The record is from RefSeq and is a predicted model, not a curated record. The transcript is spliced from 2 exons. NCBI's taxonomy places the organism in Eukaryota, Metazoa, Chordata, Mammalia, Primates, Hominidae.